AACCAUCUUACUGGUUAGCCAAAGAUUCUCGCCCACAUCAGAGCACUUAUUGCUUGCAUACGGUCGUCGGCAUAGUUCACUUCUUAAAAGUGUUGUCAUUGAUGGAGAGGCAACAAUUCCCAUUUACACAAUUCUAGAGGUCUAUAGAGUUUCUGAUAUGGAACUUGUGAGAGUUCUACCAAGUGCUGAGGAUGAGGUUAAUGUAGCAUGCUUUCAUCCUUCAGUUGGCGGUGGCCUUGUCUAUGGAACUAAGGAAGGGAAGCUUAGGAUUCUACAGUGUGAUGGUUCUUAUGGCAUGAAUCACUCAGUGUCUUCCUUUUUUGAUGAGAACACACUUCAGGUCCCUACAUAUGCUUUAGAAUGCUAAUAAAGUGAUCAGUUACCAUUAUGAGAUAUGUCACUGAUGUUUAAGGUGAGAUGACAGGAGGCCAUAUAUUAUUUUUCAAGGAUAACUACGGAAAGACUCGAUUGAAUCUCAAUUUCCAUGCUGCAGUAAAUUCUGAACCACACCUGUCUUCAAAUGCUUAAACAGAUGUUUUGAUAUAGUAGUGAUGAUCAAUUUGUAUUUCUAAUUUAUGUUUUAUGUACCCUUAUCUUUAUCUGACAGACAAACAGGUUAGUCGAAUGUCAUUGCAUUUUAAAACUUUUGAUGCCUGAAAGACUUGCCUGAAUUUUGCUUGAUUAGCCUUGUGAAAAGAAUUAAUUCUAAUAGAAUGAUAACACUUUCUUUUGUAA
This is a long non-coding RNA of Pistacia vera, 735 nucleotides long. RefSeq lists it as uncharacterized. The record is from RefSeq and is a predicted model, not a curated record. NCBI's taxonomy places the organism in Eukaryota, Viridiplantae, Streptophyta, Magnoliopsida, Sapindales, Anacardiaceae. The transcript is spliced from 6 exons.